Papaver somniferum (opium poppy) is the source of this 642-nucleotide long non-coding RNA. RefSeq lists it as uncharacterized. The transcript is spliced from 2 exons. NCBI's taxonomy places the organism in Eukaryota, Viridiplantae, Streptophyta, Magnoliopsida, Ranunculales, Papaveraceae. The record is from RefSeq and is a predicted model, not a curated record.
CGCAAUGCUCUUAAUCCUCACAAAUUAAAACAGCAUUACAAAUCAUAUAACAUUAGAAAGAAAAAGAAAAUCAUGGGAAAAAGUCUUGUUUCACCGUUGUUUGUUAGUUUCUUGCUCGUUGCAACGAUUUUGAGCUUUUCCAGUGAAGUGAAUUGCAUUGCCGGACCACUCGAUUGUGUCGGAGGAGGGACGACGAGAGAACUAUAUAUUACUGCCUCUUGCGAAGUGUGUGACCAGCUAUGUGGAAGCAUCCAAGGCGUUGUUUGCGCUGCUGAGUGCAGCGUGACUGGCAACGGGGUACCGUACUGUACCUGUGUUUUUCCUCAAGGUGGAUGAAAACCCUCUACAGGAAGAUCACUUGUUUGCUCUUUGCAAUAUAAUAUACCCAAAUAUGAUGUAUAAAUAAGUUUAUAUUUUAAGUAGUCUCUUCUUUUUUAUCCUAGCCUUUAUAAUAAGGGCCACCCAAAAAGAAUUAGGGACCAACAAUAAAAUAAAAUAAAAUAAAAUAGAAUCACCGAAAUCUAAAUUAGGUUCACCUUUUAUCCUUUUUUUCGUAAUGGAAAAUUGUCCUUCAAUAAUCGGUAGUUAAUUCUAUAAUCGGCAGUUUAACUACAAUCGGUAGUAAAGUGUGUUACUUUAACA